This 1428-nucleotide ribosomal RNA is filed under the name uncultured bacterium. RNAcentral's name for it is "bacterial SSU rRNA". It matches the Rfam family "Bacterial small subunit ribosomal RNA". The record is from RNAcentral.
UAGGGUUUGAUUCUGGCUCAGAACGAACGCUGGCGGCAGGCCUAACACACGCAAGUCGAGCGCUACCUUCGGGUGGAGCGGCGGACGGGUUAGUAACGCGUGGGAAUAUACCCAGUUCUAAGGAAUAGCCACUGGAAACGUGAGUAAUACCUUAUACGCCCUUCGGGGGAAAGAUUUAUCGGAAUUGGAUUAGCCCGCGUUAGAUUAGAUAGUUGGUGGGGUAAUGGCCUACCAAGUCUACGAUCUAUAGCUGGUUUGAGAGGAUGAUCAGCAACACUGGGACUGAGACACGGCCCAGACUCCUACGGGAGGCAGCAGUGGGGAAUCUUAGACAAUGGGCGCAAGCCUGAUCUAGCCAUGCCACGUGAGUGAUGAAGGCCCUAGGGUCGUAAAGCUCUUUCAACUGUGAAGAUAAUGACGGUAGCAGUAGAAGAAACCCCGGCUAACUCCGUGCCAGCAGCCGCGGUAAUACGGAGGGGGUUAGCGUUGUUCGGAAUUACUGGGCGUAAAGCGUACGUAGGCGGAUUAAUAAGUUAGAGGUGAAAUCCCAGGGCUCAACCCUGGAACUGCCUUUAAAACUGUUAGUCUUGAGAUCGAGAGAGGUGAGUGGAAUUCCAAGUGUAGAGGUGAAAUUCGUAGAUAUUUGGAGGAACACCAGUGGCGAAGGCGGCUCACUGGCUCGAUACUGACGCUGAGGUACGAAAGUGUGGGGAGCAAACAGGAUUAGAUACCCUGGUAGUCCACACCGUAAACGAUGAAUGCCAGACAUCAGCAAGCAUGCUUGUUGGUGUCACACCUAACGGAUUAAGCAUUCCGCCUGGGGAGUACGGUCGCAAGAUUAAAACUCAAAGGAAUUGACGGGGGCCCGCACAAGCGGUGGAGCAUGUGGUUUAAUUCGACGCAACGCGCAGAACCUUACCAACCCUUGACAUACUUGUCGCGGAUUCCAGAGAUGGAUUCCUUCAGUUCGGCUGGACAAUGUACAGGUGCUGCAUGGCUGUCGUCAGCUCGUGUCGUGAGAUGUUCGGUUAAGUCCGGCAACGAGCGCAACCCACGUCCUUAGUUACCAGCAUUCAGUUGGGUACCCUAAGGAGACUGCCGGUGAUAAGCCGGAGGAAGGUGUGGACGACGUCAAGUCAUCAUGGCCCUUACGGGUUGGGCUACACACGUGCUACAAUGGCAUCUACAGUGAGUUAAUCUCCAAAAGAUGUCUCAGUUCGGAUUGGGGUCUGCAACUCGACCCCAUGAAGUUGGAAUCGCUAGUAAUCGCGGAACAGCAUGCCGCGGUGAAUACGUUCCCGGGCCUUGUACACACCGCCCGUCACACCAUGGGAAUUGGGUCUACCCGAAGGUGGUGCGCCAACUAUUUAUAGAGGCAGCCAACCACGGUAGGUUCAGUGACUGGGGUGAAGUCGUAACAAGGUAACC